UACGGAGGGAGCUAGCGUUAUUCGGAAUUACUGGGCGUAAAGCGCACGUAGGCGGCUUUGUAAGUAAGAGGUGAAAGCCCGGAGCUCAACUCCGGAACUGCCUUUUAGACUGCAUCGCUUGAAUCCAGGAGAGGUGAGUGGAAUUCCGAGUGUAGAGGUGAAAUUCGUAGAUAUUCGCAAGAACACCAGUGGCGAAGGCGGCUCACUGGCCCGGUACUGACGCUGAGGUGCGAAAGCGUGGGGAGCAAACAGG
Molecule: ribosomal RNA, 253 nt
Filed under: uncultured bacterium
Lineage: Bacteria
Description: partial 16S ribosomal RNA
Rfam family: Bacterial small subunit ribosomal RNA
Source: RNAcentral